RNAcentral lists this ribosomal RNA (420 nucleotides) under uncultured Nitrososphaerota archaeon. Its description in RNAcentral is "bacterial SSU rRNA". It matches the Rfam family "Archaeal small subunit ribosomal RNA", at positions 459 to 879 of the family's 1478-position model. Lineage: Archaea; Thermoproteati; Nitrososphaerota. The record is from RNAcentral.
CAGCAGCCGCGGUAACACCAGCCCCUCAAGUGGUCAGGAUGAUUAUUGGGCCUAAAGCAUCCGUAGCCGGCUCUGUAAGUUUUCGGUUAAAUCUGUAUGCUCAACAUACAGGCUGCCGGGAAUACUGCAGAGCUAGGGAGUGGGAGAGGUAGACGGUACUCGGUAGGAAGGGGUAAAAUCCUUUGAUCUAUUGAUGACCACCUGUGGCGAAGGCGGUCUACCAGAACACGUCCGACGGUGAGGGAUGAAAGCUGGGGGAGCAAACCGGAUUAGAUACCCGGGUAGUCCCAGCUGUAAACUAUGCAAACUCGGUGAUGCAUUGGCUUGAUGCCAAUGCAGUGCCGCAGGGAAGCCGUUAAGUUUGCCGCCUGGGAAGUACGUACGCAAGUAUGAAACUUAAAGGAAUUGGCGGGGGAGCAC